AUGGGGUGGCUAUGGGAGCUUAUGGGGUGGUUAUGGGGUCAUAUGGGGGGAUAUGGGGUUAUAUGGGGGGUUAUAGGGUUAUAUGGGGGGCUAUGGGGGUUAUGGGGUGAUAUGGGGAGAUAUGGGGUGGUUAUGGGUCAUAUGGGGGGCUAUGAGGGGAUAUGGGGGGUUUUGGGGUGGAUAUGGGGGGCUAUGGGGUGGUUAUGGGUUUAUUUGGGGUUAUGGGGGGCUAUGGGGUGCUAUGGGUCUAUGGGGCUAUGGGGGGGUAUGGGGUCUCUGUGUCCCUAUGUGUCCCUAUGGGUCCCUAUGUGUCCCUAUGGGUCCCUAUGGGAUCUCUAUGUGUCCUUAUGGGGUCUCUAUGGGUCCCUAUGGUUUCCUAUGGGUCUCUAUGGGGUCCCAAUGUGUCCUUAUGGGGUCCCUAUGUGUCCCUAUGGGGUCUCUAUGUGUCCCUAUGUGUCCCUAUGUAUCCCUAUGGAGUCGCUAUGGGGUCCUAUGUUUCCCUAUGGGGUCUCUAUGGGGUCCCAAUGUCUCUCUAUGGGGUCCCUAUGUGUCCUUAUGGGGUCCCUAUGGGUCCCUAUGUGUCUCUAUGUGUCCUUAUGGGAUCUCUAUGUGUCUCUAUGUGUCCUUAUGGGGUCUCUAUGGGGUCACUAUGGGAUCUUUAUGUGUCCCUAUGUGUCCUUAUUUGUCCCUAUGGGUUCCUAUGGGGUCUCUAUGUGUCUCUAUAUGUCCCUAUGUGUCCUUAUGGGGUCUCUAUGUGUCCCUAUGAGUCCCUAUGUGUCCCUAUGGGUCUUUAUGGGAUCUCUAUGUAUCUCAGUGUGUCCCUAUGUGUCUCUAUGGGGUCUCUAUGGGUCCCUAUGGUUCCCUAUGGGUCUCAAUGAGACUCUAUGGGGUCUCUAUGUGUCCUUAUGGGGUCCCUAUGGGUCUCUAUGUGUCCCUAUGGGAUCUCUAUGUGUCCUUAUGGGGUCCCUAUGUGUCCCUAUGGGUCUCUAUGGGGUCCCAGUGUCUCUCUAUGGGAUCUCUAUGUGUCCUUAUGGGGUCCCUAUGGGGUCUCUAUGGGGUCUCUAUGUGUCCCUAUGUGUCUCUAUGGGAUCCCUAUGUAUCCCUAUGGGGCUGCCCCACAGGUGUUGCUGUGUCCAGCUUCUCAUCGGGGCUGGGUGA
This 1158-nucleotide long non-coding RNA is filed under the name Coturnix japonica (Japanese quail). Its description in RNAcentral is "lncRNA (ENSCJPG00005005946.1)". The record is from RNAcentral. Lineage: Eukaryota; Metazoa; Chordata; Aves; Galliformes; Phasianidae.